GUGUCAGCAGCCGCGGUAAUACGGAGGGGGCUAGCGUUGUUCGGAAUUACUGGGCGUAAAGCGUACGUAGGCGGUGAUUCAAGUCAGAGGUGAAAGCCCGGAGCUCAACUCCGGAAUUGCCUUUGAAACUAGAUCGCUUGAACGUCGGAGAGGUGAGUGGAAUUCCGAGUGUAGAGGUGAAAUUCGUAGAUAUUCGGAAGAACACCAGUGGCGAAGGCGGCUCACUGGACGACUGUUGACGCUGAGGUACGAAAGCGUGGGGAGCAAACAGGAUUAGAAACCCCUGUAGUCC
This 292-nucleotide ribosomal RNA is filed under the name uncultured bacterium. RNAcentral describes it as "partial 16S ribosomal RNA". It matches the Rfam family "Bacterial small subunit ribosomal RNA", at positions 505 to 796 of the family's 1533-position model. The record is from RNAcentral.